AUCGCGACACUUUGAAAGCUUUGCCAGUUUGUUCGAUAAAGCAGCAUGCGAAUAAAAAUAAGGAACAAUCAGGUUAAUUUAACCAGCGUUGAAUUGUCACGACAUAACGCCAGCAAACAUUAACGUGGGCAAACAUUUUGACCUUUUCGUUGCUGCACGUGGAUAAAACGUUGAUUCAAAUUACGAAAGACGAAGAAAGGGAAAGCGGAUAAUGCUAAAGAAAAGGGAAAAGAGAGCAAAACGGACGCACAACGUUUGCGACGAGUAACGCUCCACGCGUAAGACAAUUUACAUCCGGAAUGGUAACAACGAUGAACAUUUGCGAUAACGCCGUAGCAGAUAACAGGUUUUCACAUUGUGUUUCUCACCUGUUAUCCACCUCAUCUAAUCGUAGCAAGUAUCUCGCUACGUGGAAAUUUGGAAGAAAAACCUGGAAUAUGAUUGUCAGAAGCGAACAGAAUUCUUUCCACAAUCUCAUCAGUGUCUUUAGAACUAUCACGAGAUCUUGAAACAUGUUUACUAAUGUGAAAUAAAGUACGAUAAAUUUAUAAUAAAAUUUAAAGCGUCGAAGUCUCUCAUUAUUCGUUAUCGAUUUUCAACGGAGAAAAUCUACAAUUUCUUUCGCUACGAUGAUUCUCCGCCGUCGAUAUUGAAUUUCCAAUAUUCCGCAGGACUGGCAAUCGCAAAAAUUACGUUCGAUUUAAAUCUCGUUAAAUGAAAAUCAAUAUUCUGUCCCAAUCACGUCAAUUUAGCGAGGAUCGUAGAUCUGAAAAACUAAGGUAGGACAAGCGAGCGAUAAAAAGAGCGAAGGAAAAAUACCACCUUUAAUCCACCGUUCUCAAACAAAAGAAACGAAUUCGUUCGACGUUCGACUCGCGGCAGAUAAUUUACGAUGGUAUCGGUACGUACAUCUACUGAUUAAAAAACGUCCAUCAGAUUGGAAUCUUCCCGAAGAUGGUAUCCCACUAGGAGUAACCAACCACGUGUUAUUUAGCAAUUAAGUUGGAAAAAUUUACCAAAUGUUCAGCUGGACAAAUUUUAAAGUACAAAUUAAAUAAUUAAAAAAAGAAGAAGGAAGAUUAGUAUCUUCGAGAUAAGACUGGAGAUAUGGCGCUAGCGAGUUUCUAAAGCCUUUUACUACGCAUUAAGAUAGCCACGAAAAAAGAAGUUGCUGGAUCCACCGCUGUAUAAUCAAACAGCGAUCUCGUGAAAAACGUGGAACGUUCCCUGUGAGCGUGUUUUCAAGCAUAAUAAACUCGAUCGAACGAUGAAAUUACACGCCGAUCUCGUGACUAUCCACCGUUGAUUGAGACAAUCCCGUAAUUAACUGUGUCGCCACGUGUAUUCGUGGAACGUUAACCCCCCAUAACAGCAAUUUCCUUCGCCUCUGACAAGGAAAUAAUGCGAACGAACGCAAUCUGGCUUUUCAUUUGAAAAAUAGAAAGGAAUUAUGGAAACAAUUUGAACGCUCGAUAUCGAGGCACAACGAUAUUAGCAAUGGAGCGUCA
This 1508-nucleotide unclassified non-coding RNA is filed under the name Bombus terrestris (buff-tailed bumblebee). RNAcentral's name for it is "misc RNA ENSBTSG00005033639.1". The record is from RNAcentral. Lineage: Eukaryota; Metazoa; Arthropoda; Insecta; Hymenoptera; Apidae.